GUGCUGGCUUCGGCAGCACGUAGACUAAAAUUGGACGAUACAGAGACGGUUAGCAUGGCCCCUGCGCAAGGAUGACGCGCAAAUUCAUGGAGCGUCCGUUUAUUUC
Molecule: small nuclear RNA, 106 nt
Organism: Peromyscus maniculatus bairdii (prairie deer mouse)
Lineage: Eukaryota; Metazoa; Chordata; Mammalia; Rodentia; Cricetidae
Source: Ensembl